CCCGGGCGGAGCGGCCGUC
Molecule: small nuclear RNA, 19 nt
Filed under: Arabidopsis thaliana (thale cress)
Lineage: Eukaryota; Viridiplantae; Streptophyta; Magnoliopsida; Brassicales; Brassicaceae
Description: snRNA_00623
Source: RNAcentral